GACGAACGCUGGCGGCGUGCUUAACACAUGCAAGUCGAACGGAAAGGCCCCUUUGGGGGUACUCGAGUGGCGCACGGGUGCGUAACACGUGAGUAACCUGCCCUUGACUUCGGGAUAACUUCAGGAAACUGGGGCUAAUACCGGAUAGGAAUCCUUGCUGCAUGGUGGGGGUUGGAAAGCUUCGGCGGUUUUGGAUGGACUCGCGGCUUAUCAGCUUGUUGGUGGGGUAGUGGCUUACCAAGGCUUUGACGGGUAGCCGGCCUGAGAGGGCGACCGGCCACAUUGGGACUGAGAUACGGCCCAGACUCCUACGGGAGGCAGCGGUGGGGAAUAUUGCACAAUGGGCGGAAGCCUGAUGCAGCAACGCCGCGGGCGGGAUGACGGCCUUCGGGUUGUAAACCGCUUUCAGCAGGGGCGAAGCUUGUGGUGACGGUACCUGCAGAAGAAGCACCGGCUAACUACGUG
Molecule: ribosomal RNA, 465 nt
Filed under: uncultured bacterium
Lineage: Bacteria
Description: partial 16S ribosomal RNA
Rfam family: Bacterial small subunit ribosomal RNA
Source: RNAcentral